UAAUCCCAACUGUCGCUGACUUUUUAGGAU
This 30-nucleotide small RNA is filed under the name Bombyx mori (domestic silkworm). RNAcentral describes it as "ovarian small RNA-19641". The record is from RNAcentral. Lineage: Eukaryota; Metazoa; Arthropoda; Insecta; Lepidoptera; Bombycidae.